CUUAAUAACCAAAGCUAGACAACAAAACAAAACACACAAACCUACAUAGGCAAGAGGUACAUACAUCAUUUAUUUAAUUUCCCCAUAUAAACCACAUCACAACAACACAUUAAUGCUCCCUCUAAUAUCAGAAUUACUCAUCAUGCGGUUGCGGUUGUUGCUGUCACUGUUGUUCUCUUUACAUCCCUUGCCUCCACCUUUGCAUCCCUUGCAGCAGCUUCCCUUGCAUCCCUUGCAGCUGCCUCCCUUGCAUCCCUUGCAGCUGCCUCCCUUGUAUCCUGUGCCUUGCUCUGAAUAUCCUGCCCAACCUCCUUGGUCUUCUGCCCCACUUCCUUCGUCUUCUGCCCCACGUACUCCGCCGCCUCGGCGAGGUGAUGCUUCGCGGCGGCGGCGAGGUUCUCCGAGGCUGGCUGGGUCUCCCGGAUGUAGUUCAGGAUCCAGGAGAAGGAAGACAGCGCCGUGAGCCCGAAGGCCCCCGACGUCAGGAACCCGGCCACGGCCAGGCCGAUGGCGACCGUGGCUGGAACCAGCACCGGGCUGAAGAGGACGAAGAGCGGCGUGGCAACUGCCAGUCCGGUGAGGGUUCCUGCCAGGGUCAAUCCCGCCAGGAGGAGCAGGAUGCCACCGACCGGGAGGCCGGCGAGGACGGCGAGGACCUGGGAAGUCGUUGGACCUCUCUCGGAAUGGUAAAUGGAGGGCGCUUUGACGCCGGCUUCAUAACGCGGCGGUUCGAAACGGGCUCCGGGGGGGACGACGCCAGCUUCGUAGCGGUGUGUUGUUGUGUGGACUUGGACACUGUGUGGUGGUACUUGUGUGGUCAUGGUUGAAGGUGAAGUUUAGGGUUUUGCAAUGAAGAUGAUGAUGCAACAGUGCUGCAAGUGAAGGAAUUGUUAGUGGGGUGUGUGUUAGAGAGGGAGAGUGUGACGGGGGUGUUGUUAUAUAGCAAAAGUGGAGUUGUUGGGUGAUGACACGUACAUGAUACAUGGUGAGUAGGGGCUUUGCAUGAGGAACAGGUUUCAGUUUGCCCUCGGUUUAGUACAUCAGAAAAAUUAAAGUGGGGUACAUAAAUUAUGACAGACAAAUGAGAAUAAUAUACUUUUUAACAUUUUUAUUAAGGACAGUUGGGAUACAGUUUCGCAGGUGGUGUUGGUGGUAUUUUUCAUCAUAAUUGGAGUUUUACUUCACAAAAUCUGCAUUAGCAUUUAAUGAAAUUAGUUUGUAACCCGUGCAUCGUUUGUAAAUUUUUUUGCAUAUAUAUUUAUUUGUUUUGUAAAGUAAAAAUAAAAUGAAAAUUAAUGUGCAAAUUAAAAUAGAUUAAACAUUGAUAAUAUAUUUACAUAGUAAAUAAAUUGUUCAGAAAAGCAAGAAAGAUAAACACUAUUAUCAAGAAGUAUCAGUUUAACAUUCCAAAUUUAUUCACUGUCAUUGUCAUCCCAGUCUUUCCUGCGGCGGCGGAUGAUAAUUUUCCAUAUUUUAUCAUGUCUGUAAUAGAAGGAAACCUCAUCGUCGUGGGAGAAAUCACUGUCGGCAAGGAAUUGAUACCAUGGUUGUAUAACAUAUCUGUGACCAAUUCCAAUGUCAAGGAGCACAACAUUCCACUGCAGUGGAGGUCCAAAUUUUCUAAGGAUUGUCAUGUGUUGGCCGCAGGCAUUAACAUGUGUAAUGACACAAUUUGGAAGUCUCUGCAAUGAAAAAAAAAUAGUCUUAUAUAUAAACAAGAAUUUGUAUAAGGAACAAAGAACAACUUUUGAUGGUUACCAGCGGUUGGGGUGCACCAAGCAUCGACUGGGUGAUUUCAAUUGUCCAAAUAUGCUCUCUUGAGAUCAUUCGUGGUCUUCUGCAGGUCUGGUGCUCUCUUGAGAUCAUUCGUGGUCUUCUGCAGGUCUGGUGCACCAAGAAGUGAAUGGUGAUAGAUUCAUAAAUUGCUAAAUCUUUUCUGAACUGGUUUAGUCCCUCAGCAAAGUAUACUUUUUGCCGAUGCUGUCUUAGUCUAAUUUGGUAUGAUGUUCCAUCAUAUCUGAAAUGGACAAAGUCAGGGUAUUCUGGUGCCCAUUGUUGGUGGUAAAAAGAAGGCACCACUAUGGUGUCCUGCAAAAAAACAUAGUAAUAAAAAGAAAAUGAAACUGCACGAAUGAAAGAACAAAAAAAACCAAAGAGUGGGCAUAUAAGAUUACCCAAUUGUUGUGGAAUGGUGUUGUGAACUGCAUGAUUAAUGGUUUUUUGUUAACCAGAUAUUGAAUCUGCAGUGAGAUAGAAUGGAAAAAAUAAGAUAAAAUAUGGUACUGAAAGAUAAUAUUUUAAAAUAUAUGGACAAUGACAACAACAUAAUAAAAUCAAUGAAUGUAUCAUGCCAUGAAGUGUAUUAUGCAAUUAAUGUUGAGAGUGAUAGUCAUGGUUAAGUUUGCAGGUUUUAUAAAGUGUAUUCUGCAAAUAAAGAUUGAGAUGUACACAGGCUGUUGGGAUGAAGUGGCAUUCAGUUGGAAUGUAGGUUUAAGAAUCAAAACAAAAAAGCUAUGGCAAAGUUUUGGGAUUGUUUUGGUUUGGGACAAAGCAACAAUCUUAAAAUUUGCUGCCCUAUGUCUGUUUUUUGGUUUGGUUACAUGUUAGAUUUCUCAUAUGAUAAAAUAGAGUAGGAACAAUUAUUUUCUUUUCUAACAGAAGCCAUCCCAGACAACUAAUACUUCGUAGAUUAGUUAAUGGUUAAAUUAAGUUAGUGAUUGGUUUGAGAGUAGUUUUUUAUGCUGGUAUUGUGAAGUAGGAACUUCAGUCCAACCAAUAUUUCUACUAUCCUGUUAUUCAUAGAGUGAUGAACUAUUGUAUAAACUUUUGCACACUGCCAUUUUUGAUUCUCCUAAAACUCUCGUUAUUCCUAUUCUGUAUAUUAUAGGUAUGAAGUAGGAACUUCAGUCGAGUCAAUAUAUCAAGUUUUGUCAUACUUCUAUCACAUAUGAUUUGUGCUGCAAGUAAAAAUUUUUGGUCUAGAAUUACAAUGUGCAAUUAUUUAUUAAGAUGACAAAUCAAUAUAGAUCCAAAUGUGGAAGUCAAGCAACAUGAUUGUCAAAAUCAUAAGCUACACCUAAUAGGACAAAUCCCUAAAAAACAAUACCUAGGAUGAAGCAGUUCUGAACUCAAUUUUGUUCCCUUUGGUCAAUAUAGCCAUUUUAUUCGGUGAUAAAAAACAUAAAUUGAUUAGUCUCAAAUUUAUAGUUUAGAUAAAUUAAAUUCAUUUUUGCCCUAAACGAAAGGGAACUCUAAUUAAUUUAUAUAUGGCUAUAUCAGUUCUUCAAUAUCAGUUAUUAAUAAAUUGUAAAAAAAUAAUGCAAUGUGGAUUUAAUGUUGGGGAUUCUAGUAGGUGUAUAUUUUAUCUAAUUUCUAUCCAUCAGUGGCAUAUUGCAAAUUAGAACCGAUUUUAUAGUACUAUAUUGCAGAUUAAUAUCAAUAAACAGAAGAAACAAAAAAUAAUUCCCUAUUUUUUGUAUGGCAGUCAAAGGAUAACAAAACAAAAUUUUCAGUGCUUAUUCAUAUGUUGUUUGUUGUUUAAUUCUAAAGUCAAAGUUAAUAAUAUCAAUCAGUCAAAAUGUAUCCGUGCAUGCAUUGAAAAAAUUAACUAACGAAGAAGUUUUGGUUUGAUGUAUAGAACAAAAUAGUAGGAGAGAAAGAAAACCUAAGUAUGUACUGACAAAAGAAACGCAUAACUUUGGGAAUCCGGAUGAUGAGUUUCAUCACAGUACCAUAUUUACACUUAAAAUUUUAACAAAACAAAGUAAAAUAUAGUUAACGGAAUUUGAAUAUAUAUUCUAAAUAAUUUUAGACUUGCCUUGCUUAAAACAGAUGAUGAGUUUGAACUCAUGGUUGUCUCACUUGAACUGGAUGAUGAGUCUGAACUCAUGCUGGCAGUCGUCUGAGUAUUGUUUUUUUUCGAAAACGAAGGAGGAGUAGAUGGCCGGAGAAGAAACGCUGUUUGGAGAAGAAGUGUCGGACUGAUGCAGUGGUUGGUGAAAACGUGUAGCUGGUGGCAUAUGAAUGAAUUUGGGAAUUAUAGAGCAUUGAAUGAUGGCUUAGAAGAUUGGACGUAGAGAGUGAUUUGAAUCAUCAUGAAUGUAUCUCUGGUGUUGCAGGCAGUUGAAGUGUCUUUUUUUGUUGUUGAAUGUCACAACCAAUAUUGAUAUUUAUAAAAAUGCAGGGAAAAAUGUAUCACAAAAAAUCAUCAUAAUUAUUUAUUUGCCAGAACAUAUAUUCAACAUUAAUGGUCUCAGCAAAGCAAUUAUACAUAUUCUAAAUAUAUAAUUUCAGAAGAAAUUUUUUUCAUGAAUAAUCAAUUUUUUUUUACAAAAUUAGUUGAUUGUUUAACUAUAUAUACACAUAUAUAUAUAUACAUAUAUAUAUAUAUAUAUAUAUAUAUAUAUAUAUAUGUAUGUAUGUAUGUAUGUAUGUAUGUAUGUAUGUAUGUAUAUCAAUGUUUUAAAAUAUUCGUGUGAGCUGCCGUUGAUUAUAAUAUUUUUUUUAUCAAUGCAUGUUAGGGGCAAAACAAAAAACUAAUUAGUGUUACUUAAAAUGAACGAAUUAGUAUUACAAGUAAUAAGAUUUUUUAACGAUGGGCAUUAAUCAACGUUGCACGUUUGGUAGUGCAAGAUUAAUGUUUGUUGUGCUUAAUAAUUUAUGUGGGGAUAAAAAAGAAAUUAUUUGUCAUUAAUUUUAUGGAUUAGAGGCAAUACAUAUAUGAAUAUAAAGUAGUUGAUUUGAGCAAAGUUUAAGAAUUUAUAAGUGGUCCACUAUGUAUCUUUAAAAUCAAGCAAAAUAGAUGCAAUUCAUAAGUUGAAUCCAGUAGUAUAAAUUGCAAUAGAAAGAUUUUAAUGUAGAAGAUGAUAUUAUGUACCUCAUAAUAUAACAUUUGACACUGGCUCAUAUGAUCCUGUAUCUAGCUGCAUAUCAGAGCAUUUUUGAGUAAUUGUUAAAUAAAGUAUUAUUAGGAAUACAAACUAACAAUUGUGUUAGGGAAAAAAUUAUAUUAACCUUGUUAGAUUAUUGAAGACCUCUUUGAAAACUACAUUGGUGGUAGAAGUCAUAUUUGUUUGGUCUUUAUCAUGGAUCAAAAUUUUUAAGCCUUUCUUUGUUUUGACCCUUGAUAAUGCAACAUAUAAUUGACCAUGGCUAAAAACUAGUUUUGGAAAAUAAAGUCCAACUGUGGACAGUGAUUGUCCUUGAGAUUUGUUAAUUGUCAUUGCAUAAGACAACAUGAUUGGAAAUUGUCUUCUUAAAAGUUUAAAAGGCCAUGGUGAUUGUGGAGGGGACAUGGACAUUCUUGGAAUGUAAACCAUAUGGCCUGAAUUUUUGCCAGAAAUGAUUUCAGCCGCAAUUACAUGCUUUGCCAAUCUUGUAAUUAUUAAUCUAGUGCCAUUACCCAAGCCUUGAGUUUGGUCUAAGUUCCUUAAAAGCAUUAUAGGAGUUACUAUUUUAAGCUUGAUACAAUGAUUUGGCAGGCCAGAUGUCAUCAAUGAAUUAAGGAAUUAAGUAGUUAUUGUUUGAAAAUGACAGCUUUCAAUGGUUUUUGAUUUGUCUAUAGAGUCAAACCUUAGGUAUUCCAUGUGUUCAACUAUGAUAAUUUUUGUAAUUAGUAUGACAGUUGUAAAGUUAAAGAUCUCUCCAAAAUAGCAGAAACAUUAAAUAGAUAAUAAUAUUUAAAAAUUGGUAAUUAAGCAGGGCUAAUUUAGAUAGAUGUAAUACCAAUUACAUUAGUGAUUCUAUGAUUACCUGGGAUUAAUGAUAGUAUAUAAUCAUUGACCUGUUCAACUGUUUCGUUGGUUGAAGCUAAUAUUGCCCUACUGUUGAAGAAUUGAGGAUCAUUGUGAUGCUGAGAUAAAUCUGGGAACGUUGAGUUAACUAUGGCAUGGAUUGGAUCAUCAUAUUCAAUUAUCAACAGGUCCUCAGGGAUUUCAAUUGUGGAAUAGCCAUCAUUUUCAUGUCCAAUAAUUCUAUCUCCAAUGUCUAGGAUCCACUUAGCAAAUGCGACAGUUUCUUGUUCAUCUGGUGAUUGUACAUUGUUCUGCAAACACAUGUUUUUUGUCAAUCUUAAGACCUGACAACAAUCCCAUAAAUAAGAGGAAUUGAUUGAGCGACUUCCCCUUGGAAUGACUGACAAUAUUUGUCGGAAGUCCCCACCAAAUACCAUGACUUUACCUCCAAAUAUUUGAUUUGAACUGGGUUUAGUUUUACUUAUAUCUCUUAAACAUUGGUCAAGCGCUUCAAAACAAAAUUUGUGAGCCAUUGGUGCUUCAUCCCAAAUAAUUAGGCUUGUUUGAUUUAGCAAUUCAGUUAAUUCACUUCCUUGAUGAAUGUUGCAUGUUGAGUCUUUAAAAAUGGGUACAGGUAUUUUGAAUUUUGAAUGUGCAGUCCUGCUGCCUGGCAACAAUAGAGAAGCUAUGCCGUUGGAAGCAACUAUAAUAACAAUUUGAUUGUUUGCUCUCAAUGAAGUUUCCAAUGUUCUCCAUAUGAAGGUUUUUCUUGUACCUCCAAAUCCAUAUAGGAAAAACAUGCCACCUUGAUUUUUGUUGACGACUUCAAUGAUUUGGUUAUAAAUUGAUGUUUGUUCAUCUAUAAAUAUGUAUUAGCUUAUGUAAGACACAAAAGAAGAACAAUUCAAAUUCAAAUUGGAAAGGUAUAGCACCUAUUAUGGAUGAAAAAAGUUGCAGAAAUUCUGAUCUAGUCUCAUCAUUGUUGUAAUUUAGCUAUGCUAAUAUCAGGCUAUUGUCUAGAUAGGACGUGAAGUAAGCAUCCUCAGGAUAUGGCAUUAAAGGAUAGUCUUUAAGUGAUUUUUGGUUUACAUGCAGCAGGUGUUCAAUCUCGAGCAAUGCCAAAUUACUCAGAUGAUUGUCAUCGAUAUGUAAUUCUAACACAUUAGACGUUAUUAGUCAAAUUAUGAUUAUGGUUGAUGCCAUCUAAUGUAAAUAUUAAUCAAACAAAACGAACUUGUAUUUAUUGUUGAUUUGCUAUAAUGAUAUGCAAUGCCAUCAGCUAACCAAUGCCAAGUUUGGUUCCAAACUUCUUCAGGAUUAUUGAUGGCACCUGUUAAAAGCAUCAACACAAAUAAUUUCCUCAAAUAAUUAGUUGUGCCCCAGUCCUUUUCCUCUUUGGUUGCUUCAACGAAUUCUCUGUCAUCUUGUAAAAACCCCAUGGCAAAGCAUGCUUCUCUGUAUGUAGGGUAUUGAAUAUUUGUAACAGUUCUAAUAUCCUCAAAUGAAGUUGUUUCCUUGCAGGCAGUAAGCAUCAUCCUCAAAUAAAACAAUUCUCUUGUCAUUGGUGGGACCCAUAUAAGCCUUCCAAUAGUGUAUCCUUUCUUUCUAAGGUGCCAUGAUCUAGUCUUUUGAUUAUAUACAAACUUUGAAACGAAUUCUGAAUAAGUCAGAGUUCUUCCUUCUGAAAAACAUUUGUUGGUGUUAGUCGUCUUUUACAACUAACUUUUGUAUGGAAAAGUUUUCCAAAAUGUAUAUAUUUUCCCCAAUUUAUGGUUCUUUUUGUAGGAUUGUAAAUAAUUCUUGUUUAGUUUUUAUUUUUGCUAAGUAGAGACCUUCCUCAUGGAAUUAAUGUAAAUUUCACUUCAAUUUUAGGUAAAAAAGAGAAAUUUUGGAAAGUGCUGAAGUUCCUGUCUCGCUAAGCCUGGUCCAUGCGCUUAGCGAGAUUCAUCCGCUAAGUGGGACAUCAGCCCGCUUAGCGAGUAAGAGGAAUCUUGGAGAGAAUUUGCCUCGUCAGCAUGUGCUCAGCGCGUCACCAAGUAACCCAACGAUAUUUUUGUCUCUUCUUGCGCUAAGCGCGCCAGGCUCACUGAGCCAAAAUUUACAUACUCACGCUAAGCAUGAAAGUGGAGCUAAGCGCACCUUCGAGGACAUAAAACCCUUUUUAAGCAUGAAGUGAAGAAAAAGAAAGGGGGUCUGAAUAGACUGAGAGCUUGGCAGAAGAACAAAAGCGAAAAGCAGAGUAAGGAAGCAAAAACCUUAGCUUUUAGGAGAAUUUUAGGUUUAGGAGUAAUUUCUAGGUUUCUAGAGGUAGAGGAGAAAUCCCCACUACUUUGUAAUCUGAUAUUUUCUCUAAAACCCUUCUCCUGCUUGUGAAAGGUGCUCCCUUGUAAUGGAGGCGUAAAAUUCUUUGUUGGGAAAUUCUGCUAAGUACUUGAUGUAAAUACUUAUCAUAUCUAUUUGAAGUUGUUUUUAUGUGUUCGUUGUUUUUAUCCAUGCUUAAUUAUCGCAUGCUUGUGGCUUGAUCACCCAUUUGUAUGUGCUGUUAGGAGCUUUAGCAUUGGAAAAUGUAUUGCAUCCUUAGAACUGGAUAGAACAGGGCUAGGUUAUCGUAUAAUCUGGACACGGAGUGUGGUAAUUUAAUUUUUAUUAUGCUGUAGUCGUAACACUGUUCGGUUAGGCUAAGUUCAAUAAGAGACAUCUGAGAAUGAAGCUUAAUUAGAAUUAGUCCAAACUCACGAGACAUCGGUGUUUGGUAUUUUAGCUCUCAGCAAAGAACACAAAAAAUAAAUUUGAAUAGAGAAAUACAUUUAAUUACAUUAAGUAUCUCAAUAGGAGGACCCAACGCUUUUACAUAUCUGUUUUCACAUCCACUUGCUCAUAUUUACUGUUUUCAAUUAGAAUAGAAAUCACUUUUGUUUUUAAUUCAUGAUAAUCAAUUCUUUGCACAAAUGUCUGCCUAUUGAAUGAUGCUUUGCCAAAUAAAACAAGUUCCCUGAGUUCGAUACUCGGUUCUUACCAUUUUAUUAUUACUUGCACGACUCGGUACACUUGCCGGUGAGAUUUACGUAUCCAUAUUAACAAGUAACACCGGGGUGUAAACAAGUUUUUGGUGCCAUUGCCAGGGAACUUCUUUCUAUUUGGAAAGUUUAGUUUAAUUGGUAAGCAUUGAUUCUUUAUUCUUUGAUUGUUUGUUAGUGUGAAUAUUUAGUUAGUUUUUCAACAUUUGUUUUCUCUUGGAUUGGUUAACUACUGUUUCUGUUAGUGUUUUGUAUUCGUAGAUCCUCUGCAGGUGAAUUGGUCCCAUUAGAUUUGGAAAUUGAAGCAGCUUGCAGAAGAAACAACGCAGAGAGGAGGAGAAAACUUUUAUAGGACAGGACAAUAGCUUUCAUCCUUGAAGAGGCUCAAUCUUCUGAGCCAUCAUCUUCAAAUUCUCCAUCAACAAGGGAAUCCACCACUGCAGUGCCUAAAGCCGACAUUAUGGCUGAAGAGCAACCAAGGAGGGUGACCCUUGAAGAUUAUUCUAGCAUCGCUGUGCCACAGUUCUUUACAAGCAUUGCAAGGCCAGAGGUGCAGGCCCACAAUAUCACAUAUCCACAUUCUUUGAUUCAGUUAAUACAAGGCAAUUUGUUCCAUGGUCUACCCAAUGAAGACCCAUAUGCACACUUGGCAACAUAUAUUGAGAUAUGCAACAUUGUCAAGAUUGUCGGUGUGCCAGAAGAUGCUAUUCGGCUCAGCUUAUUUUCAUUUUCAUUAUCUAGAGAAGCCAAGAGGUGGCUGCAUUCAUUCAAAGGUAAUAGCUUAAGGACUUGGGAUAAAGUUGUGGAAAAGUUUUUGAAGAAAUAUUUUCCUGAGUCCAAGACAACAGAGGGAAAAGCUACAAUUUCUUCAUUCCAUCAAUUUUCCGAUGAAUCUUUGAGUGAAGCUUUAGAACGAUUCCGUAGCUUGCUGUGGAAGACCCCCACACGUGGAUUCUCUGAGCCUAUACAAUUGAACAUCUUCAUUGAUGGGUUAAGGCCACAGUCGAAGCAGUUACUAGAUGCUUCUGUAGGAGGUAAAAUUAAAUUGAAGACUCCUGAAGAAGCAAUGGAGUUAAUUGAGAAUAUGGCUGCUAGUGACCAUGCAAUCUUGCGUGACAGAACACAUAUCCCCACCAAAAGGAGUUUAUUGGAGCUGUCAUCACAAGAUGCUUUGUUGGCUCAGAAUAAGUUGCUGUCCAAGCAGCUUGAAGCUUUAACUGAAACAUUAAGUAAGUUGCCAACUUAGCUUUCUGCUAGUCAACCUUCACCUUCUUCUGUUUUGCAGGUUGCAUGUUGUGCUAUUUGUGGUGGUGCUCAUGAGUCAGGCUGCUGUAUUCCCACUGAGGAUCAUGCACAUGAAGUUAACUACAUGGGAAACCAACCUAGACAAAAUUUUAAUGCAAGUGGAUUCUCAGGAUUUCAGCAGGGCCAAAAUUAUAACUAGUAGUAUGGACAGUGGAGAGCUCAUCCUGGUAAUCAAUUCAACAAAGACCAGGGAGGGCCAUCUAAUAGGCUGCAACAACAAGGGCAUAAUCUCUACGAGAGGACAACAAAGCUGGAAGAGACUCUUGCUUAGUUUAUGUAGGUUUCAAUAUCAAAUCACAAAAGCCCUGAGUCGGCCACUAAAAAUUUAGAGAUCCAGGUGGGGCAGUUGGCCAAGCAAAUUGCUAACACUUCUUCCAACAAAUUUGGAGCAAACACAGAGAACAAUCCCAAGGAAGAGUGUAAAGCUGUGAUGACCUGAGGUAGGAUGGCAACAAUGGCUGAAGAAGAGAAGGACGAGAAGAUAGUGGAUGGAGAUAAACAACAACGAGAAAGUGAACCAGCACUUGAACCAGUGGACCCUUUUUGUGAACUUGAGGAAGUGGAAGAUGAGGAGGAUGACCAAGAGGAUGAGACACCAAUAAUUUUGAGUGAGAAAGAAAUAAAGGAUGAGAAAAAGAAAGAAAAAGAAAAAGAAAGAGAAAGAGAAAAAGAAAAAGAAAAAAAUGAAAAAAAUGAAAAAGAAGAAAAGAAAGAAGAGAAGAAAAAGAGUAAGAGUGAGCUUGCUGGAGAGAAAAAGAAAGAGGUAGCUCUAGCUGAAGGGAGAGAGGUGCCAUACCCAUUGGUACCCUCAAGGAAGGAUAAAGAGCGUCAUCUAGCUAGAUUUCUUGAUAUCUUCAAGAAGCUAGAAAUCACUAUGCCCUUCGGAGAAGCUCCACAAUAGAUGCUGCUCUACUCUAAAUUUCUAAAGGAUAUGCUAACCUGAAAGAGCAAGUACAUACAUAGUGACACCAUAGUUGUGGAAGGAAACUGCGGUGCUAUUAUCCAAUGCAUCCUCCCACCUAAGCAUAAAGAUCUAGGCAGUGUCACUAUUCCUUGCUCGAUCGGUGCAGUUUCAGUGGGAAAAGCUCUUAUUGAUUUAGGAGCAAGUAUUAAUUUGAUGCCACUCUCAAUGUGUCGGAGGAUAGGAGAGCUAGAGAUAAUGCCCACAUGAAUGACUUUGCAGUUAGCAGACCACUCCAUCACCAGACCGUAUGGAGUUAUUGAAGAUGUUCUUGUCCAAGUCAUACACUUUACCUUCCCUGCUGAUUUGUUGUGAUUGACAUUGAGGAGGACGUUGAGAUCCCUCUUAUCUUGGGGCGUCCAUUCAUGUCAACUGCUAGCUGUGUAGUAGACAAGGGGAAGAAGAAGUUGGAGAUGGGAAUUGAAGAUCAAAAGAUAAGAUUUGAUCUAUUUGAUGAAGAGAAACAACUUCUAGACCAGAAUGUCUGCUUGAAGGUGAAGGAGUAUGGAGAAGAGAUUCUGAAGGAGGGAACCAAGUUUGAUCCAGACCCUUGAAGACCGAUGCAUCAAGCUAGUGACAUUAAAAGAGCGCUUUCUGGGAGGCAACCCAACCCUUUGUAUUUCAUUGCUGUUUUUCAUUGCAUUUAGUUAUAGCUUGCUGUUUGUGGUUGCAUGAAACAUUCAUCAGCAUGUUUUGCAUUGAAAAAGGGGUUGACAAGUUUUUAUUAAGCAGUGGAUGAAAAAUAACUUAGAAAAUUUUUCAGUAGUCCACUCGCUAAGCGUAUUACUCGCGCUAAGCGAAUCUGUCUUCAUGCGCUAAGCGAGCUGUUGCUUUUGCUAAGCGCUGCGACCCCUAUUUUUUGGCUGAAAGGGUCUCACUAAGCCCAAAAACUUCUCUGGAUUUUAAUUUUUUUUGAAUUGGGCUAAGCGCAACUGCUCGCUAAGCGCAAAUACUUCUCUGGAAUUUCAUUUAUGAGCAUUGCGCUAAGCGAGGCACCCCGCUAAGCGAGACCCACUCACUGCAUUUAAGGAGUAUGUUAUUUGCUAAGUGCGGCCUAUGGUCCGCUAAGCGUGAGUUGUAGGCCAAUCAGAGCUGCAGAACUCGCUAAGCGCGUAGCUUCGUGCUAAGCCCAAAAACUUCUCUGGAAUUUAAAAUUUUGAAAUUUUUGAAUUGGGCUAAGUGAGCAUGCCCGCUUAGUGCAUGAGUUUGGAAACUCAAAUGUCAUUGCAUGCUCGCUUAGCGAGUUGACAUGCUAAGCGAGGCAGUCCAAACUGCCAAAAAGCAAUAAGGCGUAACUGCCCUAGGAAGUUACAUUUUAUGCCUUUAAGUGCAUUUCUUCUCCCAUUCAUUGCCAUUUUCUCUGCGCUGUGCUCUCAACUUCCUCGUUGCCUGUAUCCUUGCUCCCUUUUUGCUUUCAUCUUCAGCAAUCCAAGUAAGCCUUUUAACUUGCUUUUAGUUUCAAAGUUUUAAACUUUAGGUUGGUAAAGUUAGUUUACUAUUUAAAGCUUUGAUUUUUGUUGUGAUUACAUGAUGAUAGGUUAGUUGUUAGUUAGAACAGUGUUAGGGGUUUUGAUUCGCAUACAAUGUACGUCAUUUUGACAUGUUUUGGUUAGUAUUUGAUGGCCCAAUAGAGGACUAUGUUGAGGGGCUAAAAAGCCCCAAGUUUUUUUGGAAAUCUCGAUGAUCUCGCUAAGCGCGCCUGUGCGCUAAGCGAGUUCAUAAGUUUUUGUUGAAUAUCUGGAUUUCCAGAUGAAUUCGCUAAGCCAUUCCUUAUGCGCUAAGCGAGUUCAUCUUCUCUGAUGAUGAAUGUUAUGUAUGAACUUGCUUAGCCGACAUUCCGCACUAAGCUAGUUGAUGUGUUUUCAGACACUUAGAAAAUUUUUUGUUUUGCUGUUGGUGGCCAAGCGAGUCCUCUCGCUAAGCCAUUUAGCCCAGUUGGCUGAAUAAGCCUAGGCUAAGCGAGCAUGUCUCACUAAGCCCAAGGCAAUUGUGUUUUCUGAAUGUUUUGUCAUGCGCUAAGCACGCCUUACCGCGCUAAGCGCAAUUUCUUUCCUGUUUUGUAAUUUUUGGAAUUGGGCUUAUCGAGCCUGCUCGCUAAGCCAAUUAUUCUCUAGUAUUGUUGUCGCGCUAAGGGCACCGUAUGCGCUAAGCGCAAAUUGUUUUCUGUUUUGGAAUUGGGCUUAGCGAGCCAAUUAUGCAGUAGAGUAGUUUUCUGUGUUAACUCGCUAAACGCACCUCGAUCGCGCUAAGUGUAUGAGUUAAUUUUCAUAAGUCGUGCUAAGCGAAUCCAUCUCGCUAAGCGCCUAGUUUAAAUUUCAGAUUUUUUUUUGCUUUCUAAUUUGAAUAAAUACCUGUCUAAUUUUGUGUCUUUGAUUUUUUUGAUGUAGAUGGCUUCCAAGAAAUGAAAGGCUAAAGCUUCCAGGCCUCAGGCCAAUUAUGGCAUAACCAGAUUUACAUCCGAAGCUGCUUGGAAUCAUUAUGCAGAUAAUGUUCUUGGUCAGAAUAUUCUUUCGGAAAGAAAUUUCAAGCUGUUUGUGACUGAAUACGAUGAAUUUAGAAGAGAAAUUGAGAGCAGAAACUAGCACAUGUAGCUGACUAACUUGACCGAGGGGAGCAUGGAUGUGGCUUUAGUGAAAGAAUUUUAUGCUAAUAUAUAUGACCCGGAGGAUAAAUCUCCAAAACAGGUUAGGGUUAGAGGUCACUUGAUAAAAUUUGAUGUUGAUUCCCUCAAUACCUUCCUGGAGACUCCGGUGGUUCUAGAGCCAGGGGAGAGCCUUCCCACAUAUUACAGGUUCUGCAAACUAUAGCCAGGUCCUCAGGAGUUGGCUGCCCGACUAUGUAUCCCUGACAGGGGAUUUGUUCUGAAUGCAGAGGGCCUGCCAUUGAAGCUUCUGAGGAAGGACCUCUCUACUCUGGUGCAAACCUGGAGUGUCUUGUCCUACUUCAACCUUGCCCCUACAUCACAUACAUAUGAUUUGAAUCUGGAUAGGGCAAGGUUGGUGUAUGGACUUGUCAUGAAAUGGAUAUGGAUGUUGGAGAUCUUAUUUCUAGACAAAUAUCUUUGAUAGCUCAGUCCAACUCCUCUCGGCUAGGAUUUCCAGCUAUUAUCACUGCUCUAUGCAUGGACAGAGGAGUCACCUCAGACUCGUUGACUUUCGAGACUCUCAGCCUAGCCAAUAAUUUGGCGUACAUCAAGAAGAAUUGCUGGAACCUGGAUGAUCCUUCGGUCAGCUUCCCAGGGACCUGCAAGGCCCGGGCCAGAGGAUCUGAGGGUCCAUCUUCAUCUGCUCCCCAGGACUCUACUGAUGCAAUCCUCCCUAGGAAGGGACCAGUCACUAGAGCCAUGAGCAAGAGGCUCCAAGAGGAUUGGGCUAGAGUUGCUAAAGAAGGCCCUAGGGUUCUUAUAAACCUCAGGGUAGAUUUCUGAGCACAUGGGCCAAUGUUGGGUCCAAUUAUCUUUGUACAUAUUAGACUAGGAUGUCAUUAUAUUUGGUCCUUGUAUUUAGGGCUCUAUAAUAUAGGUAGGGUACCCUAGAAAUAUAGGAUUUUUUAGCCCUUGUAUUUUAGGACACCUAGACUAGUUUUUGUAUUAGAGGUAGUUUUGUAAUUUCACAUGCACUAAGUGAAUAUUUGAUGUGUGUAGUUAGAAAUAAAUUUAAUUGAAUUGGUUGAAGCCCAAUCCAAUUAAAUUUUAGAGGGGGAGGUGAGCAUUUGCUUACUACACCCCAUUGCCACAUCAUAUAGUCACACUUUGUGCAUGUCCUUCAUGCUUUACAUGCCUCAUGACUAGGGGUGGGAAUAGGCUAGGCCGGCCUACAGGGGCCUACGACCUGGCCUACAUAAAGUCUGGCUUGGCCUGAGCUAUUUAAUUAAAAGGCUAGGCUCAGGCUUUUUUAAAAGCCUAUUAAAUUAAAUAGGCCAGGCUUAGGCUUAUUAAAAAGCCUUAUAAGCCUGAUAGGCCGGCCUAUAUAUAUAUAUAUAUAUAUAUAUAUAUAUAUAUAUAUUAUUUUUUGGGUACAAUUAAUAUUAUUUUUUAAAAAAACUAGCAGAUUUCAUUCUUAUAAUUAAGUAAAAUUUUAAUUACAAGGUGUGAGUUUCUUUAUAUUUCUCAUUAUUUUUAUUAGUUUUCUUAUUUCUGUUAACAGUUCCUUUUUCUAUUCCUAUUAGGUUUCCUUUAUUCUAGAGCAACUAAAAAUCAUAUCCUACAUUCUUAUACAAAAAUCAUAUCCUAUUAUGUUCCUAUACAAAAAUCAUAUCCUAUCAUAUCCUAUUACGUUUCUAUACAAAAAUCAUAUCUUAUCUUAUAGUGGAUAUGGAGGAGCUAAUGAUGAAAUGACGUUACUAUUAAUUUUAUUGGUAGAUAUUUUAUGCACCGAUUCUGUUCAAAUAGAAUGGAGAUGUAGGCUUUAUUUUUUUAUUGUAAUAAUUAAUAUGUUGGUUUGAUAGACUUGGAUGAUACUACCUCAAGUAUGAGGUUUUCUUUUGUUUUAGAUUAUUUUAUAUCAUUUGGUGAUUUCUGUUUGUAUUAUUAAUAUAUUUUUAGGACCACCAACUAAAUUAACGUUAGAUUAAAAAUUAAGGCAAAUUAUAUAUUAAGGCCUUGUUUAGCCUAUUAUAGAAGGUGAGUUAUUUUAUUUUUUUUUGGUAAAAACAACUAGGAAUAUUAAAGAUUUAAUGUGAAGAAGAUUUUUAAAUAGGCUUUUAAAUAGGCUACCAGGCCAGGCUAGGCUUUUAAAAAGGCCAGACCGAGCCAAAAUAAAAGCCUUUGAUAGGCUAUAGGCCAGGCUCAGGCCUCAAAAAUUAAUCAUAGGCUAGGCUCAGGCCUUUUAAAGCCUGGCCUGGCCUGGCCUAUUCCCACCCCUACUCAUGACACCUAAGCACACUUAGUGGAGAAUCUUGGAAUUGAUCUUGGAUUAGUGGGCUGAACCAUAACUAAAAUUCACUAAUCAUAAUUAGUGAAAUUUUGGCUCCAAAGUUUGGCUCCACAAAUUCAAUUUCAAAUUCAAGUGAAAUUUGAAUUGAAAUUCAAAUUUCCCUCCAAUUUUGUGUGACACUUAGGCUAUAAAUAGAGGUCAUGUGUGUGCAUUUUUUCAACUUUGAUCAUUUAAAUAUUAAACUUCAAAUUUUAAAGCUUUUUUAGAGCACAAAAUUUCGUGCUCUUCUCUCCCUCUCCCUUCAUUCAUCUCCUUCUUCCUCCAAGCUCUUAUCCAUGGCCUCCUAUGGUGGUGAGCUUCUUCUAGACUCAUCUUCUCCUUGAAGUGGCAUCUCCUCUCUCUCUUCCUUCUCCAUUCCGCUGCCAUUCAUCUUCCAAGAAGCAAAGGAAUCCAUUGAUGAAGAAGAUCCUAGGCCUACAAGCUCCAAUGGAGCUUACAUCAUGUCCCCUUCCCCUUGAAGAGGAUUUGACCUCAAAUCUGUUAGUUCAUCCUCCUCAAUAUCAGCUCCACCUGCAAAAGGAAUUAAAUCCGAAAUGUUAAAAGUGGUGCUGACUCCAUACUCUUUUGGGAGGUCCAACCUAUAGGCAUUGUUAUUGAUCCUCUCCAAAACCUGAAAAGGUCCAUCCCCUCUAGGGCUAAGCUUGGAUUUCCUUUUAGUAGGGAAUCUAUCCUUCCUAAGAUGGAGCCAAACCCAAUCACCCUCAUUAAGAACUAGCUCUUUUCUUCCUCUAUUGCCUUUAGUUGAAUACACCUUUGUUUGGUUCUCUAUUUGGUUCUUAACCCUCUCAUGCAACUUCUUUAUAAACUCUGACCUAGAUUCCCCUUCUUUAUGUAUAAAAGAAGUGUCCAGUGGGAGAGGAAUAAGGUCUAACGGUGUUAGGGGAUUGAACCCAUAGACAACCUCAAAAGGGGACUACUUGGUGGUUCUAUGAACCCCCCUGUUGUAGGCAAAUUCUACAUGAGAAAGAUACUCAUCCCAAGACUUAUGGUUGCCUUUCAGAAGAGCCCUUAAAAGGGUGGAUAAAGACCUAUUCACUACCUCUGUUUUCCCAUUAGUUUGUGGAUGACAAGUGGUAGAGAAAAGAAGUUUAGUUCCUAGCUUAGCCCAUAAGGUUUUCCAGAAGUGGCUAAGGAACUUAGCAUCUCUAUCUGACACAAUGGUCCUAGGCAAACCAUGGAGUCUCACAACUUCCCUGAAAAAGAGUUUUGAGAUGUGGGAAGCAUCAUCCACCUUGUGGCAUGUUAUAAAGUGUGCCAUCUUGCUAAAAUUAUCCACCACCACAAAGAUAGAGUCUACACCUCUUUGGGUUCUAGGAAGCCCAAGGACAAAGUCCAUACUAAUGUCUACCCAAGGUGCAGAAGGGAUGGGUAAGGGUGUGUAUAGCCCAUGAGGCAUCACCCUAGACUUGGCUUGUAAACAAGCCACACACCUAGUGCAAUGCUUAUGGACAUCUUUCUUCAUAUGGGGCCAAUAAAACUUUUCUUUGAGUAAGACAAGCGUCUUGUCUAUCCCAAAGUGGCCCAUGAGCCCACCUUCAUGGCUCUCUUUCACAAGUAAUUUCCUAAUGGAUCCUUGGGGUAUGCAAAGCUUUCCCUCUUUGAACAAAUACCCCUCAGCCAAAUAGAAUCCAUCUUGGGCAUUUUUCCCACAACUCUUGUAAAUGGGAGAGAAAUUUUCAUCUAAAGCAUACAAGUCCCUAAUAUUAUGAAAUCCUAAAAUUUGAGCUCCUAGGGAGCAAAACAAUGUGUGUCUCCUAGAGAGGGCAUCAGCUACCACAUUUGUUCUUCCCUUUUUGUAUUUGAUAACAUAUGGAAAUUGCUCUAGGUACUCUACCCAUUUUUCAUGCCUCUUAUUUAACUUGCUUUGUCCUCUAAUGUACUUAAGUGAUUGAUGAUCACUAUGAAUGACAAAUUCCAUGGAAACAAGGUAAUGUUCCCAAGUUUGGAGGGCUCUUAUUAAGGCAUAAAGCUCUUUAUCAUAAGUGGGGUAGUUGAGAGUGGCACUAUGAAGUUUUUCACUAAAAUAAGCAAUAGGGUGCCCACCUUGUAACAAUAUAGCUCCAACUCCCACUCUAGAGGCAUCACAUUCUAGCUCAAAAGUUUUAGAAAAGUCAGGAAGAGCUAGAAUAGGUGCCUUAGUAAGCUUUUCUUUAAGCAAAGCAGGGGCUUGCUCUUGUUUUUCACCCCAGGUAAAUGCCACAUUCUUCUUCACCAACUCAUUGAGAGGUGAUGCAAUUGUAGAGAAAUUAGGAACGAACCUUCUAUAGAAGCUUGCUAACACAUGGAAGCUCCUAAUAUCUCCCACACUUUUUGGGGUGGGCCAUUCUUGGAUGGCCUUGAUUUUCUAAGGGUCCACAUGGACCCCAUUUCUACCAACUACAAAACCUAAGAAAACUAUAUUAUCUACACAAAAGGUACACUUCUCUAUAUUUGCAUAGAUGGUGUUUUUCCUAAGGACUGAAAGAACUUGCCUGAGAUGUCCUAAGUGAUCAUCUAGGCUCCUACUGUACACUAAAAUAUCAUCAAAAUAAACAACUACAAAUCUACCUAUGAAAUCCCUUAAAACAUGAUGCAUAAGCCUCAUAAAGGUGCUUGGUGCAUUAGUGAGCCCAAAAGGCAUCACUAACCAUUCAUACAAACCAAACUUGGUCUUGAAAGCGGUUUUCCACUCAUCACCCUUUUUCAUACUGAUUUGGUGAUAACCACUUUUAAGAUCAAUUUUUGAAAAGAUAUUGGCACCAUGCAACUCAUCAAGCAAAUCAUCAAGUCUAGGAAUGGGGUGCCUAUACUUUACAGUGAUGUUGUUGAUGGCCCUGCAAUCUGUACACAUUCUCCACGUACCAUCCUUUUUGGGCACCAACAACACCGGCACAACACAUGGGCUUAGGUUCUCUUGGACCCAACCCUUCUCCAACAAUUCUUUAACCUGAGACUCUAUCUCCUUAGUCUCCUGAGGGCUAGUCCUAUAGGCUGGCCUAUUAGGAAGGCUUGCUCCUGGGACUAAAUCUAUUUGGUGUUCUAUUCCCCUUAAAGGAGGUAACCCAGGGGGUAUCUCUUUGGGAAAUAUAUCACCAAAUUCAUGUAAGAGUUCUUGGACCUUUGGGGGUAAGGUCUCAAAUGUAGGAAUUGUGGCAAUGCUAAGGGAUGUUUCCCUUGAUAGGAGAAGGUAGAAAGAUUGUUUAAGAAGGAGUGCUCUUUUAAUAUCACUUUUUGUUGCAAAAUGAUUUUCCUUCUCAACAAUCUUUUUGGAGGAAUCCUUUUCCUCUUUUUCCUUCCCCUUGGCCUUUGAAGACAAGGCCUUACUAUCCUUUUUUUUCUUUUGUUUUUCUUCCUCAUCCCUCUUAUCUUUCAUAGUUAGUUGAUCUUAGGCCACCUGUGAAGGUGUUUGAGGAUGCAACACAAAUUUAGUGCUAAGACAGGUGAGGGUAAUCUCAUUAGUUAGGCCAUUGUAAAUGAUCUUCCUAUCAAAUUUCCACGGUCUUCCUAAAAGAAUAUGUCUUGCCUCCAUGGAAACUAUAUCACAAUUAACUUCAUCCUUAUAUGUCCUAAUGGAGAAAGGUACCUUCACUUGUUGGUUAACUAUCAUUUCCCCUUGCUCAUUGAGCCAUUGAAGUUUAUAAGGUUUUGGGUGGCGAAUGAUAGUGAGGUUCAACUUGGAAACUAAUCUUGUGCUACAACAAUUGCAACAAGAUCCACUAUCCCUAAUGAGAAAACAAGUUUUAUCUAAAAUUUUGCAUCUUGUAUGAAAGAUGUUCUCUCUUUGGGAUUGAGAUAGAUCACAAGAUUGACCUCCAAGGAGCCUUCUGACCAUUAAGAGGUCACCUUCUUCAUGGGGGUAGACUUCCUCACUAGACUCUUCACCCCUUACUUCAUCUUCACUUCCACUAAAGGAAGGGCAAGAAGUAGUCUCCUCUUGACUACUAUAAAUGUCUUGACCCCUCAUGAUCAUGGUUUUCUUUGUGGGGCAUUGAGAGGCAAUGUGACCUCUCCCAAGACAUUUGAAGCAUUUAAUGUUGCUAGUCCUUUCUUGGGAACAAGUCUUGGGGGUGUAUUUCUCUAUGGUCUUAUCCUUAUCUUCCUUGGGUUUUGAAGGUGCAGCCCCUAAAAUUCCAUGGGCUUGGUCCUUCCUUGGAUAAGAGUGAGAGCCAUAAGAUUUUGAAGAAGACUUUCUUUUAAGUUGUUGCUCCACUCUUAUACAAAGUUGGACUAGCUCAUCUAGGUCCCUAUAUGGAAGGAGUUCAACCCAUUCCCUCACUUCCAUAUUAAGCUCACUAAGGAACCUAGCUAUGCUUGUUCUUUCCUCCUCCCUAAGUCCAGCUCUUAAAAUGAGUAGUUCCAUUUGUUGUCUAUAUUCUUCAACACUCAUACUCCCUUGUCUAAGCCUUUGGAUUUUGUCCAUAAGCUCCCUUUCAUAGUAGGAGGGAAUGUGCCUCUUCCUAAGGGCACUCUUAAGAUCAUUCCAAUACUCUACUGGAUGAUCCCCAUGAAUCCUUGGUUCCCUAACAAGGGAAGUCCACCAAUAGAGGGCGUACCCUUGAAAGCUAAGGGUAGCCAAUGGAACUUUUCUCUCUUCGCUAAUAUGAUGGCAAGCAAAGAGUUGUUCAACCUUCAUUUCCCAAUCUAGGUAGGCCUCAACAUGAUCUUUUCCAUGGAAAUAUGGGAGGCUAAUGUUAACCUCUUGAGGCCUUCUAUCCUUUUCUCUUUUCAUUUCUUUCAUUAUUUUUCUUCUUUCUUCCUCUCUUAUUUUCUCUCUUUUAUCUUGACUUAUUUCUUCCACUCUUUUUUUUUUCCUUUUUCUUUUCUCUCUUGUUUUUCUUUCCACAACUUAAGGGAUAUCAACUCAUCUAAUAUCUUAUACAAGGGGUCCUUAGGAGCAGAACCCUCACCAUCAACACUAGAUUAAGAAUGAAGACUCAUGUUGGUUCCUAAGUUAUGGUUCUUUCUUAUUGGGGAUUUGAAAACAAAAGGUAAAAGAAACUAUGGUUGAAACUAGCCAAAAUAAACACUAAAAGAGGUGUGAAAGAUAAGGUAAAAACUAAUUGGUAAAAAGCAAGCUAUCUAGGCGGUUUGACAAUGGAAGGUAAAAGAAAUAAGCUAUGAAAGUAAGCAAGAAAUUAAAGUGCAAGAAAGGCAAACUAGGCGGAUCCUAAGAGUGUUAGGAUGACCUCAUUUAAGGUUCCCAACAAAACACUCACUAUCCUAAGGGAAAAUUGCCUAAAAUUAUUACACAUAAAUGGAAGUAGGGUGACCUAUUGAAGGCUCCCAACUUACUUCCAAUGAAAGGCCUUUUUGUUACAAAGUUUGAAAGCAAAGAAAAUUGCUAAUUACAAAAUUACAAAAAAAAGUCCUCAAUUGUGGUGGCUAUUCUAUCUUUGGUGUUUCACUCAAUUUGGAGUGCUUCUUAGUCCAAUAGCUCUUAAGGUGGUUGGCCCCUUGCUUCUUGACUCAAAUUCUUCAAGGUAUGGCACCAAUCCUCCUUUCCAAUUCCCUAUAUGGCAACUCACAAGCAAGGAAACAAAGAGACAAGCAAUAACCAAAGACAAAAAAAAAAUGAAAUGAAAGCUAAACCAAUAGAGUUUUAACAAGACAAAUUUUCAAGGAUUAUUCAACAAUUAAAGAAAUGAAAAGCACACAAAAGCAAGCUAGGACUCAAAGAGAAACCUAGAAUGGAUCUAGAGUAGAGUAGAAAAACAAAAAAAAAGAAGACUCAAGAAACCUCUAGUUUUGGCACUUGUCUUCACAAUAAUUUUCAAUAGAAAUUUCAGAACUAGGAUUGGUAUAAAAUAGUCACCAAUUAUAGAACAAAUUUUUAGCCAAAACAACAAGCACACUUCCCUUUCACUGUUUUUUUUCUUUUCCUGGACACUGAUUUUUCUUCCAACUUGUGUGAUUUUUCUUAUUUUUUCCUUUAAUCCAAAUCGAUUGGUUCUUUUUUCAUAAUUUUUUCCUGAACACCCCGCAGGGAUCACCAGUAGGCACGCUUGUGCUGAAUCUGACUGAUGAGGAGGAUGCCAUGGAUCAGGACCCACCACAGGACCGGUGACAAGAUUUAUACUUUCCUGUCUUUUGAACACUUUUAUUAUCAUUCUAUUUUUAGUACACGUUAUAAUUUGGUUUUAUAAUUAUGUUUCAGUUUUUAAAUUUCAGUUAUAGUUUUAUUUUAGUUUUUAGUUUGCAUGAUAGCUUGUUUUAAGCUUGAUUGAACAUUUACAUUUAUAUUAUUAAGUGGUUGAUGUUUGAUUUUGAAAAAUUUAGUGCUUGAUGGUUUGAAAUGAUCAAUUUCAUGAUUUGAGUGAAGUGUAAUGCGCACAUCAUAUGCUUUGAAUGAGCAUGCAGUGAUUAGAAGAGAAAGAACAUGGAUUAGGACUAUGACUGAAAAUGUUAGUUAGUUGACAGAUUGAUUGUGAAGGUACUCAUUAACCACAACCUGGUGAGUAUGUGAUCUUGAAUUUUGAGAGAACGACUAGCAUUAAGUAAUGAUUUUUGCAUGAAUCUCUGAUUAUGGAAUGAAUGCAUGAAUUCGAAGAUGAUGAAGGCCAUGGUUGUGUGAAUUAUCCACUUAGCCAAAAAGCUUACCUUGCGAAUGAAAUGAUUUAUCCUUUGCACCCAUAUUGAGCUGAAAUUGAUUACUUGAACCUUGAGCUUGUAAAUUAUAUCUCCUUCUACCAUGUCUUAGGUUGUAGGAGAGCAUCAUUCAUAACAAUAUUGUGGUUCAAAGCAAAUUUGUUCCAAAUUUGGGGGAGUUUAUUGGGUGACAACUUCUAAUGGUAAGAAGAUAACAACACAAACAGUAAACCAAUAAGCAGCAAGUAAAGAGCUGCUGUAUAAAAAAAAAAAAAAGCUAAGUGUGGAAAGGCAAGUAAUCGAAGUUGGAAAUUGAUCGAGGCCCUACCCGAAUCAAAUAAACAUGAAAAUGCAGUAACUAGGAAGUGAUCCUAGGUCGUUUCCCAACGAGCAGUGACAAACCAAAUGUUCAUAAUAUACUUGCAGUAACAGUAACGAUUGGGGGGGGGGGGGUUUGGUUGUUUGGUAAUUAAAGAGCAGAACAAGUAAACUGGAAUACGAAACUACUAAUAUUAAAAACGGGUUGUUUCCUUUGAUUCAGAAGCCAUUCUCUUAUCCUGGGUUAUGGAGAAUUCGUCCCUAACAGUCAACCACUUAAUCCAACCCUAUUUCAAUUUACUAAGCGAAAAUCAACUUAGGGUUUUCAAUACGUGAUUAGGCACCACAUACACCAGUUAGCCCUUCGUCCAUUAAGUAUGAACGCAAGUUAGGCUCAGAGGCAAUUAAUCGAACACGAAGCGUGCACUGAUUAAUAUUCACGAAAUUGGGAUAACUGGUGAAGGGAAAACUGCCAGGAAACCACAUUACAAGCGAAAUCUCAAAGAGAGUUGGGCUUCGUCCUCAAAAGGAAACAACACCAGAAAAUCUAGCCUUCCAUGGAUUCAAACAGAAAACGCAAAUGAAACAUGAAACAGAAACAUAAAUGAACAGAAACGUAAAUGAACAGAGACGUAAAUGAGCAGAAACGUAAAUGAACAGAAACGUAAAUGAAAGUAGAAGAAGAAGCACGAAUGAACUCGUAAUUAGAAGCAGAAAACGGAAAUUUGCAUUAAGAACGAAAACUGUAACAAGGGAACAGAAAAACGUGAAAACCUAAAACCAAAGCUCUGAAUAAUGAAAAUAGCAUAACAGAAUGCCUUGCACGAAUCCCAAGGCAGCUAUUUAAAAAGAGUCACUCAAAGUCACUGGGCCCUAUUACAAUACUCUGGCCCAAAACGAAAUAAACACUGAACAACAUAAAAUAAAAUUGCAAAAUUUCCUAAUUAGAAAUUAACUAAGGUAAGCGCUGCUUUAUUUGCCCUCUUCAAGUCCACAACUAAAAUCCGGAUUAAGCCCAAUGUUUCAUUAAUUCCUGAAAUUAGAUUAAAAACAUCAAAUUAGCUAAAUGAGCCCAAAUAAUAAAACUGCCUAAUUAAUUGACAAUUAAGACCAAUCAAUAAUUAAAAUGGUGCAAAAAGGGUUUAGAAAAUAGAAGAAAAUGAUGGCACAUCAGAAAUAAUUAUGGAAAGAGUUGAUCUAUGGAUGAAUGCUCUCUUAGAACAUAAGCUUUUGCAUCCUAGAAAAACCAUGAUUUGUUAGUAGCCUAGCUUCAUUACAAGCCAAGAAAAGUCCUUCGGAUUUAGUUUGUGUGUUUAUGACUGUAUGGCAUGAGAUGAAUUGCAAAGAUUAAGACUUGUGUUGGUUGUUGAUUGAUUAUAAGCCUAAACACUUGUGCUUGAGUGAAACAGUGAUCAUGAGGCUUUGGUUGAUGAUCUUUCCUUGAUAUUUGUCAUAUUCACUAGCUUAUUUCAGUUGUGUUUCUUAAUAAUCAUGUUCAUAGUUUUGAAAAUCUGCAUGCCUUCUGAGAAGCUGUUGAUUAAACAUUGUAUGCAACUUAUGUCAUGUGAUUGAAUCCUUUGGAACAAACACUUUGUGAAGAACCACUAUGUUUUUAUCACUUGAGGACAUGUGAAUUGUUCUUUCUUUGCUUGAGGACAAGCAAAACUGUAAGUUUGGGGGAGUUUGUUAGUCGUCUUUUACGACUAACUUUUGUAUAGAAAUGUUUUCCAAAAUGUAUAUAUUUUCCCCAAUUUAUGGUUCUUUUUGUAGGAUUGUAAAUAAUUCUUGUUUAGUUUUUAUUUUUGCUAAGUAGAGACCUUCCUCAUGGAACUAAUGUAAAUUUCACUUCAAUUUCAGGUAAAAAGGAGAAAUUUUGGAAGGUGCUGAAGUUGCUUUCUCGCUAAGCCUGGUCCAUGCACUUAGCGAGAUUCAUCCGCUAAGCGAGACAACAGCCCGCUUAGCGAGUAAGAGGAAUCUUGGAGAGAAUCUGCCUCGUCAGCACGCGCUCAGUGGGUCACCAGCUCACCCAACGAGAUUUUUGCCUCUUCUUGCGCUAAGCGCACUUGGCUCGCUGAGCCAAAAUUAACUUACUCACGCUUAGCGUGAAAGUGGCGCUAAGUGCACCUUCAAGGACAGAAAGCCCUUUUUAAGCCCGAAGUGAAAAGAAAGAAAGGGGGUCUGAAUAGGCAGAGAGCUUGGCAGAAGAACAAAAGGGAAAAGCAGAGUAAGGAAGCAAAAACCUUAGCUUUUAGGAGAAUUUUAGGUUUAGGAGUAAUUUCUAGGUUCCUAGAGGUAGAGGAGACAUCCCCAUUACUUUGUAUUCUGGUAUUUUCCCUGAAACCCUUCUCCUGCUUGUGAAAGGUGCUCCCUUGUAAUGGAGGGGUAAAAUCCUUUGUUGGGAAAUUCUGCUUAGUACUUGAUGUAAAUACUUAUCAUAUCUAUUUAAAGUUGUUUUUAUGUGUUCGUUGUUUUUAUCCGUGCUUAAUUAUCGCAUGCUUGUGGCUUGAUCACCCAUUUGUAUGUGCUGUUAGGAGCUUUAGCAUUAGAAAAUGUAUUGCAUCCUUAGAAUUGGAUAGAACAGGGCUAGGUUAUCGUAUAAUCUAGACACGGAGUGUGGUAGUUUAGUUUUUAUUAUGUUGUAGACGUAAUGCUGUUCGAUUAGGCUAAGUUCAACAAGAGACAUCUGAGAACGAAGCUUAAUUAGAAUUAGUCCAAACUCACGAGACAUCGGUGUUUGGUAUUUUAGCUCUCAACAUAGAACAUGGAAAAUAACUUUGAAUAGAGAAAUACAUUUAAUUGAGUCAAGUAUCUCAGUAGGAGCACCCAACGCUUUUACAUAUUUGUUUUCGCAUCCACUUGCGCAUAUUUACUGUUUUCAAUUAGAAUAGAAAUCACUUUUGUUUUUAAUUCAUGAUAAUCAAUUCUUUUCACAAAUGUCUGCCUACUGAAUGAUGCUUUGCCAAAUAAAACAGGUUCCCUGAGUUCGAUACUUGGUUCUUACCAUUUUAUUAUUACUUGCACGACUCGGUACACUUGCCAGUUAGAUUUACGCAUCCAUAUUAACAAGUAACACCGGGGCGUAAACAGUUGGCGUUCAUCCAAGCUAAAAAUUUGGAAUCUGAAAUGCUUGGCUUGGAUAGGACAUCAUCAAUAUCAUCAUGGUCCUCAUAAAGAACAUUGUGUUGGACUGGAAGAUGGAAAUAUAAUCUUUCAACGGCAGGCUUCCUAGCAUGUAUUGGAAAACCAAAAAUUCUCCAAGCAGCUUCACAGGGAGAAAUGUAUCUGGCAUAAACAUUUAUUUAUUAAAACAAUAAUGGGCACAUUAAUUACACAUGUUAAAUUAAUGCUACCUGCAAUCUAUAUAUUCUUUAAUCUCAUCUUUUUGGUUGGUAGCAUUCUGGAUUUCAUCAUUGCCAUCAUAAACCAUAACAUCAGUGACUCUGUCAUACCCUUUGUUUAUGUACUUGAAUAAAUGUUUGAUUGAAGUACUUUGAUUACACCAUUCAAUAUUGACAUGCACUUGGUAUUUUUUCAGUAAUUUUGGAUUAUAAGGUACGAUGUGUCUAUUAUCAAUGAUAACACCAUUCUUUGAAAUUGUACGACCAUCAUUUCUCCUAUGAUAUACUGGAUAACCAUUUGCAUCUAAAAGAGUGUAAGGUUGGAACAUUUUAGGAUAAAAUCUGCUACACUUUCCUUCUUUCAUACAUGGAGAUUCAGAGCGUAUAAUUCCACAUGGGCCAUGAACCAUAUGAUUUUGCACCAAUGUAUACAAUUUUGGGUCAUCUACCUUUGAAUGUAUCUCUGCUGAUAUAAUCUGAUCAAUUUCAUCUGAAGUUGGAUAUUUAUUGUCUGGGUGCAAAAACAACAAUAAAUGGACAUGAGGAAGUCCUCGUUUUUGGAAUUCUAUUGUAUGCAUAUAUGUGAUUGUUAAAUUAUAGUAUUAGCAGGAAAACAAUAACAUAUAAAUAUUUAACAAUUAUGUUAUAGGAUGAGCAAAAGUAAAAAAUAAUAAAUUGAAUUCUAUGUUUAAUAGAAAAAGUUGUUGUCAACUUACAUGCCACUGCUUUUCCAAGUAGGUGAUUCUUUGAUAGGUCUGAAAGCAUUUCUUCAUAUUUCAACUUGAAAACUCGUGAGAUAAUGUCUGGUCUAUCUGCUGCUUUCAAAUUCAAUGGUGCAAGUAAUCUAUGGAUUUCAGGCCAAUUUGGAUUACAUGUUAAAGUGAUAAAAAGAUUUGGGAAACCAACGUGGCUGCAUAUCGCCAUACCAUCAAAAUAUAGCUGAUCCAUGUAGUGCGGACUCCCAACAAAGGUAGAAGGAAAAAUUACUCUCUUGCCUUUAUUUAAACCUUGGCUUGUCCCAACAUCCAGUGAAUUUUGUAAGCUACAAUACUUGUUAACUCUGAGUUUCUUUUGGUUGUUCCUGAUGUAGUUAAGUCUUUCCGAUUCAACCAUCGUAUAUGCUUCAGCAAUGAAUUGUUGAAAUAGUCUUCUAGAAUGCAAUAAAGUUUGAGCUUCAUUUGGUCUAGACUGAAGUCUAUAAGCAAACCUCUCUCUCAUAGUGAGACGAUUUCUCUUUCUCUUUUUGCUGUCUGGUGUUGCAUAGUGAAGUAUGUCAGACCUAUAUCCAUCUUCACCAUAAGGGAAAAGCAGAGGGAAUUGUAGGCCUAGAUAGCUAGAGUGCAAUUCAUGUAUUCUCUGUAACUGUCCAUUUUGAGUCUCAACAAUAAUAUCUCUUCUUGAGUUGGGAUUAAAAUCACCUACAAUAAGUGCAGCAACUUCUGAAACAGUUGGAACAUUGUAUGUACGACCAUCCUUUUCACGAGUAGCUAUCAAUCUUAAUCUGACAUUAUCCACAUCACUAUCUGCCAAUCUAUCUCUAGCCAUCCUAAAACUUUUAGCAUGCGCAUUGUGUUCAUCCAACAUUUCACCUAAACUUGAAACAAUUUGCGGUUGAAUUCCAUCAUGCUGGCUAGAAAAAGUAAUAUUAGAACUGAUAUGUAAUUCAAAGAAAAUCUGUGAUGAAUGUAUGAUUUUUAUAAUUAUAGAAAUGAAAGAAUCAGUACCUGAUGGCAUUAAUGCUAUUUUGAACUUCAUUAUCUGUGUCAAAGAUAUAUAAUUGUGCAAAUUUGGGUUCUUUUCCAGACAUUGGUAAUAAACUGCCUAUCCGGUGACAUGGUUGACCCUGAAUUCUAAUUGUAGGAGGUCCUCUCGAAUGAUUAAUUGAUUUGUCUAGCUUAAUACCAGCAAAAGUAAAUGCAAACAUCAUGUUAUAUGUGUGUAUGUUUUGUUGAUAAUUUCUACCAUCAGCUGAAUUAUGAUCAAAGAGAAGUCGGUGGAGAUAUUUGGGUGGAUUUUGUAACAAUGGAAGUUCAACUUUGCCAUCUCCACAACAUAAGUUGAACCUCAGGCUUGUACUAUUUUUAUGUUUUGAUAUUCUUUCAUUAUACCACAUUUUUGCAUUAUAGUGUCUACAUUGCAUCAGCUGGUCACCAAGUUCAUAAUAGCCUGAAAUUGUUUAAUGACAUAGGAAAGAUGAUGGUAACAAUUGAUAACAUGGAUAAAAAAAUAUGUCAACUGAUAUGGUUGUCAAUGACUCAGAAUUAUAAUUCUCAUCUUCAAUGUUAAUUGCACGGUCAUUGGCAGAGGAUUGACAAUCUUCAUUUCCAGGGGAAAAAUUUAAAUCAGAUCUUGCAAGAAUUACAAUUACAUAUGGUUAUUAGAUUUCAGGGAUGAAAAAAUCUUGAAUAAAGGAGUUUCUUUGCAUGGUACCUUGUGUUGAUUCAGAACUUAGAUCCUCUAAUGAAUCAGAUUCAAUUGCUUAUAGAUAGAGACAAAUCAAAGUUAAAUGGAAUCAAUUAAUCGAAAGCAAUAUAUUUUACAUGCAAGAUGGUUCAUAUAGUUUCUUACUAUGAUAAUUCCUACGUUGUGAAGUAGAGUCCAUAAUUGCCUGUGGAGGGGCCUGAGCCUGAGGUUGUCGUUUUUUUUAUCUAUGAUACGUUUUUUGUUCAUUCUGGCUUUUGCUGAAUUAGACUUGUCCGUGAAAUGGUACUUUUCCAUGGUGUUAAUGGCAAUUGUUGACUUGGUUGAGUUAUAAAUUAAUGAGAAAAUGGCAAUUGAGAUCAACUAAGAAAAAGUAAACUAACUCUAGAAUGCAUGCAAGACAUUAUGAAAAUAAGAGAAAUGGACAGUUGAAGGCCUAGAACUAUAGUUCAACAUUAACAGCUGGGAAAAUCUGCAUAUAGGAAUGAUGACACUUGCAUGUAGAAACAUCGGUUGGUGAGACUGAUGGGAAAGCUAAUAUGAAAGAUGUUGUGUAUUUUUUGUAAUCACAUGUAUAGCAUAUAUCAUUCAACUUGAUGUAUGCUUUUUUUUCUUCAGAGGAUGCAGAACAAAAUAGGGGACUGAUCGAGGCCGUACCUGAAUCAAAUAAACAUUAAAAAUGAAGUAUCUAUGAAGUGAUCCUAGGUCGUCUCCCAACGAGCAAUGGUCAACCAACGUUCAUAAUAGAUAGUGAUAAAACAGUAACGAAUUGGGGGGGGGGGUUGUUUGUUUUUGUAAUUUAAACAGCAAGCAAAUUUUUAAUUAGAAAAUAAUAGAAUUAGAACACAUUGUUUCCCCUUGAUUCAAAAGCAAGUCUCUUAUCCUAGGUUAUGAAGAUUUAUCCCUAACCAGUUCAACCACUUAAUCCAACCCUAAAUUAAAUUACUAAGCAAAAAUUAACAUAAGGCUAUCAUUAUGUGAUUAAGCAACACAUACACCAAUUAAUCAUGAACGAAGCUGAUCAUUAAGCAUGAACGUAAAUUAAGCACAGAGACAAUUAAUCAAGCACUAAGCAUGCAUGGAUUAAUAGCAACAAAUACAAAGUAAUUGGUGAAGAGGAAAAACUUAUCAUAAUUCAAUAGUAAUAACAAAAUCUCAAAGAGAGCUGUGCUUGAUCCUCAAGAGAAAACAAUGCUGGAGACUUAGCCUUCCAUUAAUCAGUAGAAAACGAAAUUGUAGAUUGAAGCAGAAACAAAAUUGCAGAAAACGAAUUUUAUUCUACGUGAACAGUGCACAUGAACAGUAAAAAUUGGAAUUCUAAAACCCUAGAAUUAUUCUCCUCUUCAAAAAAACUCCUAAACUAAAAAUCUGGUACUGUUAUAUAAGUCCUCAGCCCCAAAGCUUACAAAUCUGUUUUAAGUCCAAGUCCAUAAAUAAAAUAAAAUCUGGACAAGAUAAGAUAAGAUUAGAUGAAAUAAAAUAUAGAUGAAAUAAAAUCUAGAUAAAAUAAGAUUAGAUUGGAUGAAAUAAAAUCUAGAUGAAAUAAAAUCUGGAUAAGAUAAGAUUUGAUAAAAUAAAAUUGUUUGCUCUCUUCAAGUCCAAGCCCAAUUCCGGAUUCAAUCCCAAUUGCUUAUAAUUCUCCUGAAAUUAAAUUAAAAACACAAAAUUAGUCAAGUAGGCCUAAAUGAUAAAAGUGCAUAAUUAAUUUGAUAAUUAAGGCUAAUCAGUAAUUAAAAUGGUGACAAAAAAGGUUAAGAAAUAGGAGAAAAUAAUGACACAUCAAAUCCCCCCACACUUAGCCUUUUGCACUCCUGGGCAAAAUCAAAAAGCAAAGCAAGGAACAAAUCCAGAGACAUUAAAGAGAAACAAACAAACACAAAAACAAUUACACAUUUCUCAAUGAAUAUCAAGGAAUGAAAGGAAUGGGCAACAUCCAACACGUAGAGAGUUAAAGAAUCAAGACAGUCAUGAAAAUCAUCCAAGCAUCUCAAACAUGGCAAGAUAGUCAAUCAGCUCAAGAAUGAAAAGUGAUAAAGCCUCAUCAUAAGAUAUGCACUCUAUCUCUCAAGUGUGUAGGCUACUGUUUACACUCAAAGCACCCAUGAAAACAAACACCACAUAGACUUGGCAAGACUCUAAAAUUGACAACCACAUCACAAACACAUGCAUAUGAGGAUCAAAAGGUCUUUUAAGGUUGUAAUGGGGCCAAGGACAAGGUAGAGGAAAGUAUGGGAUAAGUAGCUAAAACCCAAAGGAAUAGAGGAGCAAUGGGGAAUAAGUGAGAACAAAGAAAAAGUAGUAAACCCCAAAACCAAAAUUAAAAAUUAAGCAUAAAAAGUAAACCCAAAACAAAGUCAACCAAGUCCUCAAACCAAUCCGAGUCUUCAAAUCAAGACCUCAUGUAUUCAACUUCAUUCUUUUUCUGUUUUUUUUUUCAUUUUUUUUUUCAUUUUUUUUGAACGUGAACAGUAGCAAUUGAAAGCAAUUAAAAAAUAAAGCAACAAUUAGGCAAUAUAUGUAUAUACAUCAAGCAUGGCCAAAAUACAUCAUCAAGCAUGGCCAACAAAAACAUAUCAUCCAAUGAAACAUACCCCCCACACUUAUUCCCAAAACAUUUCCAAAGCUCUAAAAUUCCUUAAGGGUAGGGUGAGAUCAUGGUUUUUCACUUAAGGCUUGUAAUGAGCUUCAAAACAAAGAAAGGGGAACAUAGGCUCAAAGGGGCUAUCAAAGGAAUUAAUUCAAGGUAGGCUCAUUUGGCUAAAGGCUUAUAAGAACAAAAUGCCUAAAUCAUCUCCCAACAUGCGUGUGAAGCAAGAAGUAUCAACAAGAGUCAAGCCAAGGCUACUGUGCAAGCAAUCAAUGGGGAAAAACACACCGAAUAAAAUAGAUGAUGAUGGCUCAAAUUCUCACCAAGGGUAAAUCUAUCACUUCUAAUUCGAACUUUCAAAACUAACUUGACAUGCAGAGAAAAACAAGGAUUUCAAUUCACAAAAUGCCAAGAAACUCCUAUUUCAAAAAUAAUUACCCAUUACCUGUACAUAACCUAUAAUUCAAAGAGAAACAUGCAAUGUUGUACAUAAAACAUAAAACCAAAAUAAAAAAAUAAACCUAGAAAACCUAAAAAAAAAUUAAACUAGAAAACCCAAAAAAUUUAAUCUAGAAUACCCAACAAAAUCAACAAAAUUAAAGAACAAUCUCCCCCCCCCCACACUUAAACAACACAUUGUCCUUAAUGUAGCACAAUCACAAGAUCAAGAUCAAUCAAAACAAUCAAUAAAAUUGGACAAGUGCAAUAAAAGUAAAGAAGGAGACAGAAAAAAAAGAAAACUCCCUAAGUCAUGGCAGAAGAGAAGUAGGGUGAAGUAAGUUGGUCUCCUCCACCACUACAUCCACUAAGGAGGGAUUUGUGAGGAAUGGUUUCAGCCGGUCUCCAUUGACCUUGAAGCUCUUAUUUGUGGAUUCACUUUUGAUCUUAACUAUACCAUAAGGAAAAACAUUAGUCACCACAAAAGGACCAAUCCACUUUUACCUCAACUUACCACUCAUGAGUCCGAGCCUAGAGUUAUACAAUAAAACUUUCUGUCCAACCACGAAGUCCUUAUUAGCUAUCAAGAUGUCAUGGAACUUCUUGGUCUUCUCCUUGUAGAAUUUGGAAUUCUCAUAGGCUUCUAAAUGGAUCUCAUCUAGCUCACUUAGUUGCAACUUCCUUUCCUCUCCAGCCUGAUCAAUAGAGAAGUUGCAGGUCUUUACAACCCAGUAGGAUUUGUGCUCUAUCUCUACAGGAGGAUGACAUGCCUUGCCAAAGACAACCCGAUAAGGAGAUAUUCCUAUGGGUGCUUUGUAGGUAGUCCUAUGCGCCCAAAGAGCAUCAUCCAACUUGAUGCUCCAAUCUUUUCUGUUCGGCUACACAAUCUUCUCCAUGAUCCUUUUUAUCUCCCUGUUUGAAAUCUUAGCCUGCCCAUUAGUUUGGGGGUGGUAAGGUGUGGAAAUUCUGUGCAUGACCCCAUACUUUUUGAGCAAGGCAUACAUGGAUCUGUUACAAAAAAUGGGUGCCUUGACCACUAACGAUGGCUCUAGGGACUCCAAACCUACAAAACAUAUUAGAUCUAACAAAAUCCACAAAAACCUUAGCAUCGUUAGUUCUGGUGGGUUUGGCUUCCACCCAUUUUGAAACAUAAUCAACAGCAAGGAGAAUAUAAACAAAACCAAAAGAGACAGGGAAAGGCCCCAUAAAAUCUAUACCCCAGACAUUAAACACCUCACAGAAUAACAUGGGUUGUUGAGGCAUUUGCUGUCUCCAUGAAAGUGAGCUGCCUGCUUUCUAACAAGGCUCACAAGUGCUACAGAUUCUCCACGCAUCCUUGAAGAUGGUGGGCCAAUAGAAACCGCAGUCAAGCACCUUGCGAGUUGUCCUUUGUAUGCCAAGAUGGCCACCUGAUGCGGAAGAAUGACAAAAUUGCAGGAUUGAGUCAAUCUCAUGGUCUGAAAUGCAUCUCCUAAUAACCUGGUCACUGCACAACUUCCACAAAUAGGAGUCAUCCCAAAUAUAAUGCUUAGCAUCUCUCUUAAUUUUAUCAUUUUGAGCUUUAGAUGCUAAGGGAGGAAAAACAGAAGCAACCAAAUAAUUCACAACAUUAGCAAACCAAGGAGUGGGGAAGGAAUCAGAAAUACUAUACAGAAUGUACAAAUGGUCAUCCAGAAAAUCAUCCCGAAUGGGUGAGUCCUCAGAUGCACGCUCAAUCCUUCUCAGGUGGUCAGCCAUGAGGUUCUGUGCACCACUCCGAUCACGGAUCUCCAAAUCAAACUCUUGGAGCCAAAGCAUCCAUCUGAUCAAUCUAGGCUUUGAUUCAACCUUCUUCAACAGGUACUUCAGAGCUGCAUGGUCAGUAUAAACAAUAACAUGAGUACCAAGCAAAUAUGAACCAAAUUUUUCAAAAGCAAAAACUAUCGCUAAUAGCUCUUUCUCUGUGGUAGUGUAAUUUGCUUGAGCAGCAUCCAAAGUUCUAGAAGCGUAGUAGAUCACCCGAGGUAGCUUAUCAAUCUUUUGAUCAAGGACAACCCCCAAUGCAUAAUUGGAUGCAUCACACAUUAACUCAAAUAGGGCUGUCCAAUUAGGUGCCUGAAUGAUAGGGGUGGUAGUCACCGCACGCUUGAGGCAAUCAAAAGCCUCUUUGCACCGGUCAUCAAAAUCAAACUCCACCUCCUUUUGCAGCAGAUUGGAUAGUGGAAGGGCCACUUUGCUAAAAUCCUUGAUAAAGCGCCUAUAAACCCUGCAUGACCAAGAAAAGAACGAACCUCUCGCACGCAAGAGGGGUAAGGAAAUUGUGAAAUAACAUCUGUUUUUGCAGGGUCUACCUCUAUGCCCCUACUGGAAAUGAUAUGCCCUAAAACUAUACCUUGUUCUACCAUGAAGUGACAUUUUUCAAAAUUCAGCACAAGGUUAGUUUCUAUGCAUCUACUAAGAACUCUAUCCAGACUAUCCAAACAUGUAUCAAAAGAGGAUCCAUAAACAGUAAAAUCAUCCAUAAACACCUUUAUACAAGUCUCUAAAAAAUCAUUGAAAAUGCUAGGCAUACACCACUGGAAGGUACCAGGGGCGUUGCAUAGGCCAAAGGGCAUCCUCCUAUAGGCAAAAGUGCCAAAGGGACAGGUGAAUAUGAUCUUUUCUUGACCCUUAGGAGCAAUAUGAAUUUGUAAAUAACCAGAAAAACCAUCAAGAAAACAGUAAUGAGACUUACCUGUCAAGCGCUCAAGCAUUUGAUCAAUGAAUAGCAAGGGAAAAUGAUCUUUUCUGGUUACCUGGUUCAGCCUCCUAUAAUCAAUGCAGACUCGCCAGCUGUUCUGCACUCUUAUGGGGAUAAGCUCAUCCCUCUCAUUCUUGAUCACUGUGAGGCUUGUCUUCUUAGGAACCACUUGGACUGGACUCAUCCACUGGCUGUCAGAAAUGGGGUAGAUGAUUCCAGCUUGUAAGAGCUUGGUCACUUCCUUUUUCACCAUAUCUAGAAUGACGGGGUUGAGUCACCACUGUGGCUGCCUCACUGGCUUAGCUCCAUCCUCAAAAAGUAUCCUAUGCAUGCAGGUAGAUGGGCUAAUACCAGGAAUGUCUGCUAAAGUCCAUCCAAUGGUCUUCUUGUGCUUCUUGAGCACUAGCAACAACUUCUCCUUUUGCUCAACAUCAAGGCAGGCGGAGAUGAUCACUGGAAAUUUUUUCUUGUCCUCCAAGUAAGCGUACUUGAGGGUUGCUGGUAAGGGCUUCAACUCUGGUGUGGGUGGUGGCUAAAUAGUGGGAGGAACCAGCGUAGGAGAAGAAGGAGGUUCCUCAACCUGUACCUCAUAAAGCAAGUCAGAAGUGUAUGUACUUCCUGCAACAUGGUUAGUGCUUUUUGACUCCAAAAAAUCAACAUCAAGAGGUACAACACCCAGAAAAUCAGAACCAGACUCAAAUUCAAAUUCACUCUCAGCGUAAAAGUCAGAUACAGGAUCAAAUUCAAACUUAGAUUCAGAUUCAAUGCAUAAGGAAUGACAAGUACGCAGACCAGAUAAAAAUGGAUGCUUCCUACCAUGAAGAAUAGAAUCAAAAUUCAAACAUAUAAUCAUCAACAAUAUGAUCAAUUAUCUCAGCAUGGAAAACAGAAUGAUCCUCAGAUGGAUGUUUCAUGGCAUCAAGAAUGUUAAAAUGAACAACAAUAUCACCAAAUUCCAUAGCCAAUUUGCCAGCAUAAACAUCUAUCUUGGUUCGGGCUGUUUUCAUAAAUGGCCUGCCUAAAAUAAUUGGAACUGAACGAUGGGAAAAUCCCUCUUCCAUAUUAAGAACAUAAAAAUCAACAGGAAAAAUAAGUUCACCAACCAGAACCAGCACAUCCUCUAUGAAACCUGUGGGGUAAGCAACACUUCUAUUUGCCAAAUGAAUCACCACAUCUGUAGAUUGCAAAGGUCCAAGAGAUAAAGAAUUGAAAAUGGACAGAGACAUGACACUAACUGAUGCUCCUAGAUCUAGCAUGGCAUUCUCAAAUUUAUUGUUCCCAAUAAUGCAAGGUAUACAGAAAGUACCUGGGUCCUUACAUUUCUCAGGAAUGUGAGGAACAGAUUUACCUAUCAAUGCUGACACAUUUCUGCCCAUGUAAUCCUUUCAUUGCCUUUGAGCUUCCUUUUGUGGGUGCACAGCUCCUUUAGAAACUUGGCAUAUCUUGGAAUCUGCUUGAUGGCAUCUAGCAGAGGUAUGUUCACCUCUACUUUCCUGAAGGUCUCCAAGAUCUCCUUUUCCGCUUCUUCCAUUUUUUGUUUGGAAUUGCUCUAGGUGGGAAUGG
RNAcentral lists this long non-coding RNA (35897 nucleotides) under Glycine max (soybean). Its description in RNAcentral is "long non-coding RNA (GMAX_LNC004335)". Lineage: Eukaryota; Viridiplantae; Streptophyta; Magnoliopsida; Fabales; Fabaceae. The record is from RNAcentral.